GCAUCACCUCAAAGGAUAAGGGCAGCAGAUGCCUGGGAACACCACCGCCUGAGACUGUAAGAAGCCAUCUUGAGUGACAGUGUGAGAGACAAUAACAGCACACAGAUCUCAGCAGAAACAGCCAGGAACCCCCAAAAAGAACUCCAAGAGACAUUAGAGGGGUUUUCUCUUUGCCACCAAGAGUCAAAGAGGAAGGUAUUAAGAAAUCAACUGCUGUUCUGCCAAAAGAGUCCAGGCAAUCUUCAAGUGUUGUAACCACAGAACUGGUGAGGAACAAGAAAUCUCUCUCUCUCUCAAAACCUACUUGAACUGCUGUGUCAACCUGCAAAAGGCAAACACUGACUGGUCGACUGCAGAAGACAUCUCAGCUGUUUAACCAAUCCUCAAGUUUCAACCCAUUCACUUAAGAAAGCAGAAACUCAAGCAAUGGGCCUGCAAGUUAAUAGCUUUAUCACUUUUACCUAAAUAACUUCCAGCAGUAGUUUUGUAAUAAACCAAUCUUUAUCUUGUUUAAGACUAAA
Molecule: long non-coding RNA, 521 nt
Organism: Carcharodon carcharias (great white shark)
Lineage: Eukaryota; Metazoa; Chordata; Chondrichthyes; Lamniformes; Lamnidae
Exons: 2
Source: RefSeq, a predicted model, not a curated record